UACGAAGGGGGCUAGCGUUGUUCGGAAUUACUGGGCGUAAAGCGCGCGCAGGCGGUCUUCCAAGUCAGUGGUGAAAGCCCGGAGCUCAACUCCGGAAUUGCCAUUGAAACUGUUAGACUUGAGGAUGAGAGAGGUGAGUGGAAUUCCCAGUGUAGAGGUGAAAUUCGUAGAUAUUGGGAAGAACACCGAUGGCGAAGGCAGCCAUCUGGACCGGCACUGACGCUGAGGCGCGAAAGCGUGGGGAGCAAACAGG
RNAcentral lists this ribosomal RNA (253 nucleotides) under uncultured bacterium. RNAcentral describes it as "partial 16S ribosomal RNA". It matches the Rfam family "Bacterial small subunit ribosomal RNA", at positions 524 to 776 of the family's 1533-position model. The record is from RNAcentral.